Molecule: ribosomal RNA, 453 nt
Filed under: uncultured bacterium
Lineage: Bacteria
Description: bacterial SSU rRNA
Rfam family: Bacterial small subunit ribosomal RNA
Source: RNAcentral
UACGGAAGGCAGCAGUGGGGAAUAUUGCACAAUGGGCGAAAGCCUGAUGCAGCUAUGCCGCGUGUAUGAAGAAGGCCUUAGGGUUGUAAAGUACUUUCAUCGGGGAGGAAAAACAAAACUAAUAAUUUUAUUUCUUGACGUUACCCGAAAAAGAAGCACCGGCUAACUCCGUGCCAGCAGCCGCGGUAAUACGGAGGGUGCUAGCGUUAAUCAGAAUUACUGGGCGUAAAGAGCACGUAGGUGGUUUUUUUAAGUCAGAUGUGAAUCCCUGGGCUUAACCUGGAACUGCAUUUUGAAACUGAAAUACUAGAGUAUCGUAGAGGGAGGUAGAAUUCUAGGUGUAGCGGUGAAAUGCGUAGAUAUCUGGAGGAAUACCUGUGGCGAAAGCGGCCUCCUAAACGAAUACUGACACUGAGGUGCGAAAGCGUGGGGAGCAAACAGGGAUUAGAUACC